UUACAGUUGUUUUACGAGUUAAACUUGGCCAAAUAUUUUUAUUUCGAAAUAAAUGUCCCCUCCGGAUAAUAAACAGAUCGCUUAUCCAAAUCAAACAAGUUUGGUAUCAAAUGAAAGAGGACUUAAAUAGCUUUAAAACUGAAAUGUCUAAACGAGGAAAGCCACAUAUUGAAAAAUAUUUCAAUAAAAAAAGGUUAAUUAAUAACCAUAGAACAACCCUUGGGUCAGGUAUGUAUUUAUAUGAAUUUCUUUAGUAUUA
Molecule: long non-coding RNA, 259 nt
Organism: Rhagoletis zephyria (snowberry fruit fly)
Lineage: Eukaryota; Metazoa; Arthropoda; Insecta; Diptera; Tephritidae
Source: RefSeq, a predicted model, not a curated record